GACACAUCUUGUUACCCAUGCAAUGUUGGGGUCAGAGAGUGUAGAGAGUGGUGUGGGGAGAGUGCAGGCUGAAGAGUUACCUAAGGUCAAAAUCCUGACCUAUGAGCCAAGCCAUCGAUUUGGGAUUUCUACUGAGGACACUGGAAGUCACUAAGAGCAUCUGAAUGGUUAUGUGAAGUUGGCAGUUCCCAAGGGCUUUAGGCUUGAAGCUGUGGGUCAUACCCCUUCGGAAACUUGGUCCCCAAGAGAAAUGUAUGCUUCUGAAAACCACAGGUGCAUGAAUCGUGUUUAGUAAAUGACUACUAAACUGAAAUCAGGACUUGUCUAUAUCUUGGCUUCUCAAACUUGAAUAUGCUUAUCAUCUGGAUAGCAAAAGCAUUCCUACACGUUGAGGCCUGCCAGCGUGGGUGUCACCCAGGAGCCACUCGGAAAGGCUCAUCGGAAACCACCCCGGACUGACUGAGGCAGAAUCUCUGGGGGCAGGACCCAGGCCUCAGCAUAAAAACUCCAGGUGACGGAAGAGCUCCCACCUAACAGGUGUGUUGGCAUUGUUGUAGGUGACUGACGUAGUUUCCCAUCUCACAACUCUACCUCCAUGAAGAAAAGUCAUGGAAAAUUGAGACUUUGGGCUGAGUGUGGCUCAUCCCUGUAAUCUUAGUGCUUUGGGAGGCUGAGGUAGGAGGAUCGCUUGAGGCCAGGAAUUUGAGGCCAGCCUGAGCAACAUAGUGUCUCUUCAAAAAACUAAGUUUAUUCUUUCCUCUUUUUUAGUUUUUAUUUUACACGGCUCACUGUGGCUUUGACCUCCCAUGCUGAAGCGAUCCUCCUAUCUCAACCUCUCAAGUAGCUGGAAGCACAGGCAUGCACCACCACACCUGGCUAAUUUUUUUCUUCCUUUUUUAAAGAGACAGUCUUGCCAUGUUGCCCAGGCCCUGUUGACCAGGAAAAAAAAAAGUUUUUUUUCUUUUUUAAAGAAAGAAAAUAAAAGAGACUGAGAAACCACAGAAAUAAAGAAGCGCUGAUGACAAUGCCUGCUUGCUGAUGGUUACGAUGAUCAUAGCAGUGUGCAUUUUGUAUGCAUGAAGCCUGCGACUAAAUAAACGUGUGGGGAAAUAUUUGUAAGGAAAUAAGCUAUUAAUAAAAUAAGCUAAAAUCACA
Molecule: long non-coding RNA, 1155 nt
Filed under: Homo sapiens (human)
Lineage: Eukaryota; Metazoa; Chordata; Mammalia; Primates; Hominidae
Description: novel transcript
Source: RNAcentral